Molecule: long non-coding RNA, 1804 nt
Filed under: Homo sapiens (human)
Lineage: Eukaryota; Metazoa; Chordata; Mammalia; Primates; Hominidae
Description: HSALNT0163619
Source: RNAcentral
GUGAUGCCCCCCAAGCCGCAAAACCAGCAAGUUUUUAUUAGUGAUUUUCAAAAGAGGAGGGAGUGUAUGAAUAGGGUGUAGGUCACAGAGAUCACAUGCUUUACAAGGUAAUAAAAUAUCACAAGGCAAAUGGAGGUACCGGGCAUGCAUUGUCAUUGAUUUUUGGGCAUGCGUUGUCAUUGGUAACAUCUUAUCAGGAGACAGGGUUUGAGAGCAGAUGGCCCGUCUGACCAAAAUUUAUUAGGUGGGAAUUUCCUUGUCCUAAUAAGCCUGGGAGUGCUUCGGGAGACCAGGGCUUAUUUCAUCCCUUAUCUACAACCAUAAAAGACAGACGUUCCCAACGUGGCCAUUUUAGAUACCUCCCCUUGGGAACACAUUCUCUUUCUUAGGGAUGUUCCUUGUUGAGAAAAAGAAUUCAGCCAUAUUUCUCCUAUUUGAUUUUGAAAGAAGAGAAAUAUGGCUCUGUUUCACCUGGUGCUCAGGCAGCCAGACUUAAUGGUUAUCUCCCUUAUUCCCUGAACAUCGCUGUUAUCCUGUUCUUUUUUCAAGGUGCUCCAAUUUCAUAUUUAAAAAAAUUGUGCAGUUAACGCAAUCAUCACAGGGUCCUGAGGCGACAUUCAUCCUCAGCUUAGGAAGAUGAUGGGAUUAAUAGAUUAAAGUAAAGACAAGCAUAGGAAAUCACAAGAGUACUGAUUGGGGAAGUGUUGGGAGCAAGCUCCCCAAAAUCUGGCCAUAAACUGGCCCCAACACUGGCUAUAAACAAAUCUCUGCAGCACUGCGACAUGUCCAUAAUGGCCCUAACACCCAAGCUGGAAGAUUGUGGGUUUACGGGAAUGAGGGCAAGGACCACCUGGCCCACCCAGGGCAGAAAACUGCUUAAAGGCAUUCUUAAGCCACAAACAAAAGCCUGAGUGAUCUGUGUCUUAAGGGCAUGUUCUUGCUGCAGUUAGAUAAGCCUAACCUAUUCAAUUAAUUCGGCCCAUCCCUUCGCUUCCCAUAAGGGAUACUUUUAGUUAAUUUAACAUCUAUAGAAAGGAUGCUAAUGACUGGUUUGCUGUUAAUAAAUAAGUGGGUAAAUCUCUGUUCGGGGCUCUCAGCUCUGAAGUCUGGGAGACCCCUGAUUUCCCACUUCACACUUCUUUAUUUCUGUGUGUGUGUCUUUAAUUCCUCUAGCACUGCUGGGUUAGGGUCUCCCUGACUGAGCUGGUCUCAGCAGGGAAGUGAUAAGUGUCCAUGAAAUCUUCACAGUUUAUGUUUAGAGAUUGCAGUAAAGACAGGUGUAUGAAAUUAUAAAAGUAUUAGUUGGGGGAACUAAUAAAUGUCCAUGAAAUCUUCACAAUUUAUGUUCUUCUGCCAUGGCUUCAGCCGGUCCCUCCAUUCGGGGUCCCUGACUUCCCACAACAUCUCUCCCUUUCUUUUUAUAUAAGUGUGCCAUGGUGAUGAAGGCUUGUUCGUUCUCUCGAUUUUGACACAGGAUUCUUUGACUGGUCCGGCACACUAAAAAGAACCCCAUCUGAGGGCUGUCUCUGACACGGACGUCUUUUCCCGUGGUUUUCGUUGUCAGUAUUCACCCGAAGCUUGAGUCUCCUGAUGGGUACUCAGACAGGGAAUUGAUGAUCUCAUAUCCAGGGGCGUUGUCUGUCUUUAUUUGAUAUGGAAGCCCUGUACCUUCUUGGGUUGCAAAAGAGACCAAACUGUCAACUUUAUGGUUACCGACAGACGUGGGUCCUGGUAAAGUGGUAUGAGAUCUAAUAUGUGUAAUAUAGAAAGGGUGUCUACGUUGGUGAACCGCCUGUUGUAACCU